AGAGUUUGAUUAUGGCUCAGGAUGAACGCUGGCGGCGUGCCUAACACAUGCAAGUCGAGCGAUUCUCUUCGGAGAAGAGCGGCGGACGGGUGAGUAACGCGUGGGUAACCUGCCUCAUACACAUGGAUAACAUACCGAAAGGUAUGCUAAUACAGGAUAAUAUAAGAGAUUCACAUGGAUUUCUUAUCAAAGCUCCGGCGGUAUGAGAUGGACCCGCGUCUGAUUAGCUAGUUGGUAAGGUAACGGCUUACCAAGGCGACGAUCAGUAGCCGACCUGAGAGGGUGAUCGGCCACAUUGGAACUGAGACACGGUCCAAACUCCUACGGGAGGCAGCAGUGGGGAAUAUUGCACAAUGGGCGAAAGCCUGAUGCCAGCAACGCCGCGUGAGCGAUGAAGGCCUUCGGGUCGUAAAACUCUGUCCUCAAGGAAGAUAAUGACGGUACUUGAGGAGGAAGCCCCGGCUAACUACGUGCCAGCCGCAGC
RNAcentral lists this ribosomal RNA (484 nucleotides) under uncultured bacterium. RNAcentral's name for it is "bacterial SSU rRNA". It matches the Rfam family "Bacterial small subunit ribosomal RNA", at positions 8 to 518 of the family's 1533-position model. The record is from RNAcentral.